CCAAAGGGGUGUUCCCCCUUCUUCCCCUAAAGGGGACGGAGUCCCCUAAAGGGGAAGAAGGGGUGUUCCCCUUCGGGGAGACGAAGGGGUUCCCCUUCGGGGAUGACGUAGGGGGUUCCCCUUUAGUUCCCCUUUAGGGGAAUAAGAAGAACUAAAGGGGACUGACGUCAUCCCCUAAAGGGGAACUAAAGGGGAACCAAAGGGGUGCCUGUCUUCUUUAGUUCCCCUUUAGGGGAUGAACCAAAGGGGGUGCCAAAGGGGUUCCCCUUUAGGGGAAGACAGGAGACGAUGACAAGGGGGUUCCCCUUGAGUUCCCCUUUAGGGGACGAAGUCAUCCCCGAAGGGGAACCCCUUCGUCUCCCCUUCGUUUUCACACUAAAGGGGAAGAAGGGGGGGUUCCCCUAAAGGGGAAAGCCAACAAACAACCUAGGCUGGAUCAUUGCCAACUUUAUUUUUUGAACAUGGGCCUAGGCCCGAGUAAAGCUGCUUAAUAUUUUUAUUUUGUUGAUGUGGAAUAAUUUUUAUUAAUAUACUACUAUAAUUUUAUUACGGGGCUUUUGCGUCUAUUUAUUAAUUAUUGAAUACAUUGGCGUAAUACUCUCUAUUUGAAAGGUUAUUUUAGUCAAAAAUAACGAACUAACUCCAGCGCUAGUCAUGAGAGUAGGGCCAAAGAACCGUGUUAAGCUAACGCGGUCGUUGGUCUUCAUCCCCCUCCGUCCCCUUUGGUUGUCCCCUAAGGGGAAACCUUUGGCAUCCCCGAAGGGGAACAUCCCCUAAAGUUCUUCCCCUAAAGGGGAACUUUAGUUCAUCCCCUAAAGGGGAACUAAAGGGGUUCCCCUUUAGUUCUUCUUCUUCCCCUUUAGGGGAAGAAGAAGAAGAAGAACAAGAAGGGGGAAAACAUCCCCCUCUGUUCUUCCCCUAAAGGGGAACUUUCGGGGUUCCCCUUUAGUUCCCCUUUAGGGGAUGACUGAUGACAAGGGGAAGACUUUGGUUCAUCCCCUUUAGUG
RNAcentral lists this long non-coding RNA (1007 nucleotides) under Volvox carteri. Its description in RNAcentral is "long non-coding RNA (VCAR_LNC004430)". Lineage: Eukaryota; Viridiplantae; Chlorophyta; Chlorophyceae; Chlamydomonadales; Volvocaceae. The record is from RNAcentral.